AGUGAACCCUCAUUAAGUUUGCAGAUGAUACCAACUGGGGGAAAGUGGUGAUCUGCUGGAGGGUAGGAAGGCCCUGCAGAGGGACCUGGACAGGUUGGAUCGAUGGGCAGAGGUCAACUGGAUGAGGUUCUACAUGGCUAAGUGCUGAGUCCUGCACUUUGGCCACAACAACUCCAUGCAGCACUACAGGCUUGGGGCAGAGUUGCUGGAAAGCUGUGCAGAGGAAAAGAAUCUGGGGGUAUUGGUCAAUGCUCACCUGAACAUGAGCCAGCAGUGUGCUCAGGUGACCAAGAAGGCCAACGUCAUCCUGGCUUGUAUCAAGAUGUGUAGCCAGCAGGGCCAGUGAGGUGAUCGUCCCCCUGUACUCGGCUCUGGUGAGGCCGCACCUCGAGUACUGUGUUCAGUUUUGGGCCCCUCGCUACA
Oxyura jamaicensis (ruddy duck) is the source of this 423-nucleotide long non-coding RNA. RefSeq lists it as uncharacterized. The record is from RefSeq and is a predicted model, not a curated record. NCBI's taxonomy places the organism in Eukaryota, Metazoa, Chordata, Aves, Anseriformes, Anatidae. The transcript is spliced from 3 exons.